RNAcentral lists this small RNA (236 nucleotides) under Salvator merianae (Argentine black and white tegu). Its description in RNAcentral is "7SK RNA (ENSSMRG00000013959.1)". The stretch from base 1 to 171 matches the Rfam family "7SK RNA". Rfam says of the family: 7SK was discovered as an abundant small nuclear RNA in the mid-70s but a possible function has only recently been suggested. Two independent studies have found that 7SK RNA binds the CDK9/cyclin T complex (known as elongation factor P-TEFb). P-TEFb activates transcription by phosphorylating the C-terminal domain of RNA polymerase II. Lineage: Eukaryota; Metazoa; Chordata; Lepidosauria; Squamata; Teiidae. The record is from RNAcentral.
GCGAGGGAGAUCUGGCCGCAACGACCUUCACUCCAUUGAUUGCCAGAGUUGGUUCGGCUGAUCUACUGGCUGAGGGGGGUCCCCUUCCUUCCCUGUUGCUCCUUGUAGGUCUCUCCCACGCUAGGUGGAAAAGGACGGUCAUCUUGAUCUUCNGUCAAGGGUACAUGGGGAAGGGAGCUGGUCUCCUCAGACAGCACAGCUGGCCAGUCUCAGAAGUAGCACCGCCUGCUCCCUUU